GGAAAUUCUUCUGAAGCUGGCUGA
This 24-nucleotide non-coding RNA is filed under the name Cricetulus griseus (Chinese hamster). The record is from RNAcentral. Lineage: Eukaryota; Metazoa; Chordata; Mammalia; Rodentia; Cricetidae.